AGUAGGUGAGUGAUGGGGUGACGCAGGAAGGUAGUCCAUCCCGGGCGGUGGUUGUCCCGGGGUAAGGGUGUAGGCCGCAAGGUAGGUAAAUCCGCCUUGCAUACGGCUGAGACCUGAUGCCGAGCCGAUUGUGGUGAAGUGGAUGAUCCUAUGCUGUCGAGAAAAGCCUCUAGCGAGUUUCAUGGCGGCCCGUACCCUAAACCGACUCAGGUGGUCAGGUAGAGAAUACCGAGGCGUUCGGGUGAACUAUGGUUAAGGAACUCGGCAAAAUGCCCCCGUAACUUCGGGAGAAGGGGGGCCACACUCGGUGACCGGAUUUACUCCGUGAGCUGGGGGUGGCCGCAGAGACCAGCGAGAAGCGACUGUUUACUAAAAACACAGGUCCGUGCGAAGCCGUAAGGCGAUGUAUACGGACUGACGCCUGCCCGGUGCUGGAACGUUAAGGGGACCGGUUAGUCCAGAUUCGUCUGGGCGAAGCUGAGAACUUAAGCGCCAGUAAACGGCGGUGGUAACUAUAACCAUCCUAAGGUAGCGAAAUUCCUUGUCGGGUAAGUUCCGACCUGCACGAAUGGCGUAACGACUUCUCGACUGUCUCAACCAUAGGCCCGGUGAAAUUGCACUACGAGUAAAGAUGCUCGUUUCGCGCAGCAGGACGGAAAGACCCCGGGACCUUUACUACAGUUUGAUAUUGGUGUUCGGUUCGGCUUGUGUAGGAUAGCUGGGAGACUUUGAAGCUCGCACGCCAGUGUGGGUGGAGUCGUCGUUGAAAUACCAGUCUGGUCGUGCUGGAUGUCUAACCUGGGUCCGUGAUCCGGAUCAGGGACAGUGUCUGAUGGGUAGUUUAACUGGGGCGGUUGCCUCCUAAAGAGUAACGGAGGCGCCCAAAGGUUCCCUCAGCCUGGUUGGCAAUCAGGUGUUGAGUGUAAGUGCACAAGGGAGCUUGACUGUGAGACCGACGGGUCGAGCAGGGACGAAAGUCGGGACUAGUGAUCCGGCGGUGGCUUGUGGAAGCGCCGUCGCUCAACGGAUAAAAGGUACCCCGGGGAUAACAGGCUGAUCUUCCCCAAGAGUCCAUAUCGACGGGAUGGUUUGGCACCUCGAUGUCGGCUCGUCGCAUCCUGGGGCUGGAGUCGGUCCCAAGGGUUGGGCUGUUCGCCCAUUAAAGCGGUACGCGAGCUGGGUUUAGAACGUCGUGAGACAGUUCGGUCCCUAUCCGCUGUGCGCGUAGGAGUCUUGAGAAGGGCUGUCCCUAGUACGAGAGGACCGGGACGGACGAACCUCUGGUGUGCCAGUUGUCCUGCCAAGGGCAUGGCUGGUUGGCUACGUUCGGGAGGGAUAACCGCUGAAAGCAUCUAAGCGGGAAGCCUGCUUCGAGAUGAGGACUCCCACCCCCUUGAGGGGUUAAGGCUCCCAGUAGACGACUGGGUUGAUAGGCCGGAUCUGGAAGCACCGUGAGGUGUGGAGGUGACCGGUACUAAUAGGCCGAGGGCUUGUCCUCAGUUG
This 1503-nucleotide ribosomal RNA is filed under the name Streptomyces sp. CS113. RNAcentral describes it as "bacterial LSU rRNA". It matches the Rfam family "Bacterial large subunit ribosomal RNA", at positions 1453 to 2925 of the family's 2925-position model. Lineage: Bacteria; Bacillati; Actinomycetota; Actinomycetes; Kitasatosporales; Streptomycetaceae. The record is from RNAcentral.